Long non-coding RNA from Triticum dicoccoides, 892 nucleotides. RefSeq lists it as uncharacterized. The transcript is spliced from 9 exons. NCBI's taxonomy places the organism in Eukaryota, Viridiplantae, Streptophyta, Magnoliopsida, Poales, Poaceae. The record is from RefSeq and is a predicted model, not a curated record.
CUUUGACGCCGCUCUUCCUCCCCGCGCGAGGAGAGAGCCGGCGGCGGCUCGGCUGCUCCGACCUAGUGCCGACGCCAUGGAACCCUUCAAGGUCCGUCCAACACCCCGGAUUCGAUCUGAUUCGCUCCGAGGCUCUGGAUUUGGGGAUUUCUAUGAAACACGUACGGUGUGCGCCCCCAGCACUCUGGAUCCCAUCUGAUUUGCUCCAAGGCGCUGGAUUUGGGGAACUCUCUGAAGCACGUAUAUGACCAGUGAUGCUUGCUGUGAUUCUGGCUGUGCAUCUUCUACCUCCUGCUUCGGGCCCUGGACACCUUUGAGGACGGCACCAACGAGUCCGUUGUCCUGCAACCGCGCUCACUUGGCCGCCUGUCGCCUUGCCCCUCCGGUGGCCGCUUUCUUCUUUGACUCCGGGUAGGUGUGUGCGCCCAGCACUCCGGAUCCAAUCUGAUUCGCUCCGAGGCGCUGGAUUUGGGGAACACUCUGAAACAUCGACUAGUCUGAUUGCAGAGGACGACAUCAGCUUCCCUAAAGAUGUGAAGCUGCCCAUCCUUAAUGGUUUCUACUGCCAUAUCUACAACUCCGACUGGAUUUAUCAUUGUAUUGGAUCUCUCUUUAUGUGGCGCUCACUCUGACACCUCCGCCAUAGAGGACAACGUCAGCAUCCCUCGAGAUGUGAAGCUGUCCAUCCUUAAUGGUUUCUAUCACCAUAUCUACAACCCUGACCGGAGUUAUCAAUGUAUGGGAUCUCUCCUUAUCUGACGCCUUCGGCAUAGGGUCAAUAGGAGGUUGGAUUAGUGGGUUAUAGUUGAACAAUCUGUUCUUGCUUCUGUUGAGGCUGAUGUUGAUAACAAGGUAGAUGAUAGGUAAGAUAGAAGAGAUUGCAAAGGAGCUU